CCUGAGAAACCCAAAAGAUCGAAUGGGGAGAUUCAUCGUCAGCUCAUUUUGUAUAUGUAUGAGUUAUGAUGCGGGUUACYACUUGUAGUAUUGCCUGCACAUUCUUAUAUAUUUAAUUGCAAGAUGUUGUCGGCGUGCACUUCUCCCCUAGUAGGACGUCGCGACCUGUUGGGUGUCGGUCUACGACUCAAGUGAUAGACUUUGAUGUGUGUAAUUAAAAAAGCGCAUAUUAAAGAUCCUUGAUGUUUUCUGACCGGCUACUUGGCAGUAUUCGUACGGUAUUUAGCCGCUAAAUUUUUAAUUAAGCGUUUAUAUCCGUCACAAGCGAGGCUAAUUUACUGAUAGUACGGACCUAGUGCCGUCGUUGGUAUUGGCCAGCUGUUGGUUGUAUGGUAUUCUAUAACNGGCUAAAAUUAANUACCGGUCGGCG
Molecule: ribosomal RNA, 430 nt
Filed under: Aleiodes sp. BMNHE897755
Lineage: Eukaryota; Metazoa; Arthropoda; Insecta; Hymenoptera; Braconidae
Description: LSU rRNA
Source: RNAcentral